AGCCAAGAGCAGAAAAAACUUUUUCUAAUCUUUAUAAUCAUGCCUGGGUCUCUAUCAGGUAAGUCACACUAAGGAAGACCACAAAGCAGUAUUAUCACUUUAUCCUAUGACGAUGAGUCUAAACUAAUUUUAGGUUAGAUUUUUAAUUUACUACUUAAUUUUACUGCUUACCCUAUAGCAAUGGUUAGAGAAUUUUGAGUAUGCUUCUCCAUCGUGAUCACUCAUUCAAUGAAAAUAAGACAAUAUAAGUCAGUGUAAAGUUUCUUCUUUUUUUAAAAAUUAAAACGUAGCACCCAAGCAUCUUUGAGAUGGCACCUAUUUAGCAUCUCAAUGGUUAGAAAUUGCAGUCAUGAAGUCCUUUGCUGCACCAGAAAUUUCCAUGGAGACUCCUGAAAUAUUAGGUGUGCCAACCACAGAGCAGCUAGGCUAGAUUUAAGUAGACGUGAAAAACCCUGCCAUUUACGUUACCUUUAUUUCUGUGUGCCAUGAUGCAGAGGGAACAGGAAUCUCUGCCCUAUACCUGAUCAAAGGACUCAUUAUGAAGCUACAAAAUAAAUUGUUCAGCUGCAAAUAGUCCCCUUUUUAUGAUGCAGGCAUUUCUGGCUUUUUUUAAUGACUCAACUGUUUCUGCUGGAUUGUGAAUGAAUCCUUGAUUAACAACAUAUCAGCAAAAGUUGAUGUUUUGAUCAUGCAAACCCACUCUACAAUGAUUAGAGGUAACUUCUAAUAUCAGGAGAUGCCGCUUAAGUUUAUACACAUAUUGAAGUAUUAUAUAUAGCUAAGUCUGAGUUUUCUCUUUGAAAAAUAAAAAUAAGCAACUCAAUAAUUCAGUUAUGCUUAGAGAUUAUUACUCUAUGCUUCAAUCUUUGCCAUUACAUAUGAGGAGGAAGAAAUCCUCUUUCCUUCAAAAGCUUUGAUGAUUGAAUUAAGAAGAAAAGACGUAAACUUAAGAAACAUAACUACAUUACUUUGCAUAAACAAAAAAGUCGAUAUUAAAAAUGCAAUAUUCAUUCAUUCAGUGAAUCUCUAAAAAGAGUCAUCUCAAAAGUAUACAUUGAUUGAAAUUUGACAUUUUUGUUCUUUAAACAGGUUUAUUCUUUUAGUUACAUAAGAAAAUGAUUAAAGAAGCUAGUAAGAUAUUGUCAGAAAUAUGUUUGCAGACUUCUAGCUCUCUACCUAAGCAUUUUCUCUUCUUCCUGAGUGCAUGGCUAGAUCAUAUCACCCAGAUUUCCUUGCAGUUAUGUAUCAACAUCCUUAUAACCAUGUUUUCAACAAUAAGAACAUCAUUAUUUCCAGCAAAACCCAUGCAAUUUCUCAAACACCUUCCACCAUAGCCUUUGCCUACUUCAUGCAGGCUGGAAUUAGAAGCAUUAAUAAUAACUAAUUGAAAAUGACAGGGACACCCUGGGCCUAGGUCUCUGAAUGACUGGAUGGCGAAGCUUCCCAUUCACCCAACAGCAUCCAGACCAGACUGAUAUAUGAACAAGAAAUACCCUUCUCUUUCCUUCGAGCUUUUAGAUUCUGAAGUCUAUUUGUUAUUGCUAUAUAGACUACCCUAAAUCAUACAGAUAUGCAUGUAAACAUCCUGUAAUUUAAUCAAAUUAUGUUCAAUUAUUGAGGUUAGUUAAAUGAAUACUGGACUACUGUGUAGAGUAAAGCAGCUGCUAUGCAGGUUAAGAGCAGGAAUAUGGUUGCUGCAGAGUUGCAGUUAGCCCACCCUACUCUGCAGAGAUCAGUGAGGCACUUGGGGUGUGACUGCCCAUCUACAAGACUCUAUAGCAGGAAUCAAGGAGUGGGGUUCCCCAAACUUCUGCUUCUGAUAGUCCAUUCUCUAUACAGUCACAGCCUCUCCACUCCUAUCUUCUUUGAGAACACCAGGAUAUAUUUAAUUAUGCUCCUUGUCCAUGUUCGUUUUAGUUACCAAAGGAAGCUCUGGUUCUCAAAUCGCCUUAAGACUCUAUGCAUCACUUUUUCUAGGAAACCAUAAGCAUAUUCUCCCCCUUGAAACUUUUCACUGUGCCCCUAAUGUAGUAGAUGUUCUUCCUGCUCUACCAAGAUGCUCUCCAAGAUUUGCCUGUGGGCUGCUGGUGUGAAAACCUCGGGUGACUUGUUAGGGAAGACAUGGCAUGGCGAAUGGUUAUUGGGGUGGGGAAGCUGAGGAGAGGACUUGAGGUUCAUCAGUGAGCGACUUCACAAAGGACAUUUAAAAGAACUGUUGUUAUACAAGAUAUUUGUCUGGGAAAAUAUUAAGAUAUAUAUAGGAAUUACAAUAUAUGUCCAGGAAAAUACAUAUUGAAGAUCUAUAAAGAUGUGGACAUUUUGGGGCAGGGGAUUAGAACCUAAAGCAGCAUUUUUGUGGGUGGAGACCUUUAGCCUUAGUUCAGAGUGAAUGGCUUACAAGAUUAAUAACUAGAGAUGGGAUGAUUUUCUCACAAACACUCACUAUCUCCCUUUGAAGUUACUGUCUACCACAUUCCCAGGAUGACUCUUCCACUUUGUCCUGGAUGAUUUUUGUUCUGAUUUAUUAUGAUUCUCUUCAACAUGACCCCUUUCAUAAACUAGGAGUGAUUUUGAUAUUCAUGUGGAGAAUUUCCUUGUACCCAGGAUUCUGAGCCCAUCGGUCCUCUCUUCCCUAAUAAUGGCAUCUUCCGAGGUGCAGCAGGAAUGCCCGGCCAGGCGCUGGUGUGGAAUUAUCAACAGUGCAACCUGCCAAAAUCUCAGCUCUCCCACACACAUUUUGGUUUCCAGCUCACACACUCUGACUCCAGCAAUCUUUCAGUUCUGCCAGGACCUAAAUCUUUUUAUCCUUAGAAAUUUCCGCAGUCCCUCACCCCUACGCUCCUAAUAUCUUAGGCUUAAAUUUUAGGAACAUACAUUAUUGUCAUUGCCUGCGUAAACUCUCAUAAAGCUCUUGCCCUCUCUUUCUCAUUGCACUUUACUUGUGUGAAUACAACUUUUGUUAACUUGAAAUUCCCACUUACUUCAUAUCUGUACCCAUGAAAUGAAAUCUCGCUAGAAGAAAAACAAAUACCCACAAACAUCAAAAAUAAAACACUCCAACAGUAAAGUUUCUCUAAUAUUACCUGGGAACAGUAGGGUGUGUUACCAGUCUAUUCUUUUUCCUUUCUCUCAGGUGAUUAUGUAUUAAUUUUUCUCAUUUCUUUUCAAACGGCGUACUCUCCAUUCCACCCUUUAUCACUAUCAGCUGGUAAAUUUGCUUUCUACUUCAUCGAGGUAUAUAAAGAAAAUUUUAUAAUUUCAUACUAUAGACAGUGUUACCUUUUACCAUACUAUUACUUAUAUACUAAUUGUUACUUAAAUAUAUGACCAUUUCCAUAUAGCCUCAAAAAAUAAUAUGGAUUUAGACAUAUUUCUGAUAAAUAAACCAGUUAAAAUAUGCACAAUAAAAUUUUCUUUAAAAUGAAAGAUGAUUCAAGUGCCAUGUAUAAAAUACAUUCUUAGAAAAGAUUUUAAAAAUUAGGUUGUUUUUCAAAAACGUUCAGCAUAAUAUUCUAAGACUUUGUAAUUUUGUGUAUUUAUAUUUAAAACUACAUUUUAAGUAAAAUAGUCACUAGUGGGCCUUAUUGUUUUCUUUGUUCUGUUUUAAAUAACUGCAUUAUUAAAGUCACUUCAAAAUUUAUGAAAUCAUUUCUAACUAUAAAUGUUCUAACUGAAUAGAACAUAGACAAUUAAGUGCCUUAUCUUAGUUAUUUCUUCAGAUCAGCUUCUUGCUGGCUUAUUGGAGAACUGCUGAUUUUUUUCCCAUGCAUUUUGAAAGCGUCAUUUUACUGAAUGGACUAUCUCCUUGGUUCUCAGGAAAAACGUCCAUUGAUCCUUUGAUUGUUUCAGUGAGACAAUCAUAUCUGUGCAAAUAACAAUGUUUCUUUCCAAGAGCUGUUAUUUUUUUCUCUUGCUUUCUUGCUAUGAUUUAGAACAUCUAGUGUUAAUAAGCAAAUAUCCUUAUCUUGAUCUAUUUUUUUCUGAAAAUGCUGAGAUAGCUUGUUUUCUUUUUUACUUACUAUUAACAUAUAGGAAUAUAUAUAUAUGCAUAUAUAUUUAUAAUUUUAUAUUUACAUUUGUAUUUGCACAGAGUUAGAGUGAAUGAAUUCUGAAUUCUACCAAAUACUUUUCCAGUGUCACACACUCCUUUGACAAUGUAACAUGAAGAAUUUGAGUCAUUCCUUUUCUAAUAUUCAAUUGAAUUUUGAUUCUGGAAUAAAAACUACUUAGCCAUGAUGUAUGGUUACACUUCUAGGUUAAGUUUGCUAGAAUUUAAGUAUAUUAUUUUCAUCAUCUGCAUUCAUUUAAAUGAUUAAUACUUGUUUUUUUUGUUUUGUUUUUUUACAGCUGUACCUGUGGCAUAUGGAAGUUCCCAGGCUAGGGGUCAAAUCUGAGCUGCAGCUGCCACCCUACACCACAACCACAGCAACACAGGAUCCAAGCCACUUCUACAACCUACACCACAGCUCAUGGCAAUACCAGAUCCUUAACCCACUGAGCUAGGCCAGGGAUAAAACCCACACUUCAUGGAUACUAGUCUGGUUUGUUAUCACUGAGCCAUGAUGGGAACUCUGAUUAGUACUUUUUAAAAUUGCUGGGUUUUUUUUUUUUUCCAUUUAUUUUCAAGGUUAUACUCUUCAUAAAAUGAACAGAAGAGGAGGGUUCUGGGAAGAUUGGAUAGGACGCACUGAGAAUCUGUCUAGACAACAGUUGCCCUGGCAGAAUCUAAUAUAACUGUCUUGAAAUUCUGGAGUCUAUUGAAGACUUCAACUUUGAAGGAAAGGCUUAUACAGUAAAUUGUGGUUAAUUUUGGCCAUUUUCAGCUCUUAGCACACCUCUCUUCCCCACCUUAAGCCAUGUGGAAGACAGCUGUGCACAUGUUGUUGGAGAAGCUAGCAUGCAGCUUGUGGGAGCCAAGGUGGGCAAAAAGGACCAUGUUCUGUAAAUAUUGGGGCUCUGUGCUUUGAUUACUGAUUUCAGUUAUUAUAUCUCUGAUUAUAUCCUGGGUUUUCAUUCAGGAGCAGCAAUCAAUAUGUGAUUUAUAAUGUUUCCUUCCAUGGUCCAUGUCUAAGUUAUCUUUUUCUUUCCCAUUGCUGUUAACCUUGUGAUAAUCCAUCCCUUUACUUUCCUGUUUAGAGAGAUUUUGAACUUUGUGGUAGCAGCUGUGCCUGGAGAACUAGCAUCCCUCUCACUGUGUUCUUGUCUACACGGCCUCCAUUCCAGGUGGACAUCUGUUCUCAUUUACAUGGCCCCCAGUCCAGGUGGAGACUGCUGAAGUGCCCAGCCUUCCUCCUUUGCAACCCCUGAAUUUGUCAUAUAGUCUUAAAAGACUAGAAUUUCUUAGAGAAGAUUUUAGAAAACAUACAGUGGAUAAUAUAGUUCCAUGAAGGAUUUUGCUUAUUUCUUGAUAUUCUAUAUUGUUUUCUCAGAAGAGAGACAAGUGGAUUCAGGAUCCAUUCCUUCAACCAGUUACAUCUGCACUCGAGCAGAAAUUUCUUAAGGUUUUCAAUGAGGCCAUAAACCUUCCAAGAUUUGCAGAUUUAUUGCUAUUUUUAAGUAUCUUUGGUGGACCAGGAAGAGGGGUUUUAAUUCUGCUCACCACUUGAUUGUGAGGUAUAUUGUCAAAAUGCUAUAGAUACAAUUCUUGCUAUAUUUGCCUUUUGUGUGUGGAGUUGAUAACCCAUUGAGUGCCUGAUUUGUUGCCAAAUAAUCCCCAAAUCUAUUUUAGGUUUAAAUUUUUUUUAAAGAGGCACUAUGUUUUAAGUCACCUUCAGUCUUCUAUUAUAUAACUGCAUACAAAUCUGUUACCUCUCAAACAAUAGCAAAUGUAGAUUUAGCUCAAUCCAUAAAUAUUUAUCCCCUAGAACCAGUACCAGAAACCUUUUGUAUUCUAGCUUAAGCCUAGCAAAUUCAAAUCAGUCUGUCCUUAUUUCAUGGUGGAUAAAUAAAUAUGAGAUUGGAGUACUUUUGAGAUAAUUCAAUACAUUUUCAGGCCUGGACAAACUUCAUUUAGAUGUAGACUUUAAAGUUAGCCAGAAGCCACUCUGUGUUGGCUAAUGCGAAUACCGUAUUGAACUCUGAAAGUCUUACUAGAUAUGUGGAAGUGGGAUGCAUCUGAUUAUGUUAACACUGUUUCACUGUCCAGCAAAACCUCUGUUUUUUUUUUAAUCCCUCUCUAGUCCAACUAGAUGCGAUGUAUCUUGCAGUGUUUUUAUUGUCAGCUACACUACUUACCCUUCUGCUGAUUACAAAAUUAGCUCUUGUAAUUAAACAGUUACUUCAAAUUUGGUGUCUCAUGAUACAUAUGCCAAACAAUAAUGACAAUUCUUUACAUUCACUGUCCUUCUCUUGCCUCUAUAAUUCUAUUUGUGUUUUCCUCUGAAUGAAUAGGAGAAAGUAAAAAUAUCUGUAUAUAAUAUAAUAAAAAAUUUAGACAAAUGAAAAAGUAAAAAUAAGCCUAUUGCUAACAUCUUCUUGACUGAUAAUUUUGUUUAUAUUAUUACCUUUGCUUUUUUAAGAACCUGGAUUUUAAAAUAAUCAUAAUAGUAUAAAAUGUAUUUUUUUGUCCUGAUGACUCUAUGGACUAGAGAUUAAUGAAAAAGAAAAUAGUAUCCAGGAGUUCCCGUCGUGGCUCAGUGGUUAACGAAUCUGACUAAGAACCAUGAGGUUGCAGGUUCGAUCCUUGGCCUUGCUCAGUGGGUUAAGGAUCCAGUGUUGCUGUGAGCUGUGGUGUAGGUCACAGAUGCGGCUCGGAUCCCGCGUUGCUGUGGCUCUGGUGUCGGUCAGAGGCUACAGCCCCGAUUAGACCCCUAGCCUGGGAAUCUCCAUAUGCCGCAGAAGUGACCCUAGAAAUGGCAAAAAGACCAAAAAAAAAAA
Molecule: long non-coding RNA, 6876 nt
Filed under: Sus scrofa (pig)
Lineage: Eukaryota; Metazoa; Chordata; Mammalia; Artiodactyla; Suidae
Description: lncRNA (ENSSSCG00000059890.1)
Source: RNAcentral